Molecule: long non-coding RNA, 1018 nt
Filed under: Heterocephalus glaber (naked mole-rat)
Lineage: Eukaryota; Metazoa; Chordata; Mammalia; Rodentia; Bathyergidae
Description: lncRNA (ENSHGLG00000034956.1)
Source: RNAcentral
AUCACCCUCAAGCUGGGCACUUUAGUUCUGGGUGUGGGGAUAAAAUGCUACCCCAAAUACUAAAGUCACUGACAUGAAUCCAAGUCCCUCGGCUGCCUUGUGUCCCCAGCACCCUGCGCUUGUCUAGGAGAGCUGCUGUCCCCCAAGAAACACCGGGAGACCAGCCUGGUGGUGGCUUCGUGGUGACCCCUGCAAGACCAGUCCUGCCGUUCCCAACUUGGAUUGGGGUUGUGGGACAGGGAGGGUGCUCAGCUCCUGGCCUGGGAGGAAAGGAGAACAAAAGCUUCACAUAGAUUAACAAGCUUCACACGGCCCUAGGAACACUGCGAAGCUGACUCCAGAGAAUCCCUGCACCCACACCAGGACCAGCCAUGCUUCGCCAGCCCACGGCACACCCUCUCCCCCGACUGUCACAAUGGCGUGGCCACACAGGAGGACCAGGAUGGUGACAGUGAGGGAGUGGCCAGUGGCAGUGAUGGUCCAGAUGCAGGGCCAGUGCUCACCAGGGCCUUCCUGCCACCCCCAUGCCACCUCUGUGUUGUGUGCAGAAGGAGACGAGACCAAUUACAGCCAGGAGGAAGGUGGUGGUGGAGAGAGGAGGUCCUUCCUGGACAAAGCUAUUCCCAUCAGUGGACCACACCUCUGCAGGGCCUUGGAGGGGCAGUCACUGAUGUCCUGCCUGCUUGCAAAGUCUGACAGAUCACAUGUUCACAAGAAUGGCUAACCUCUGAGCCUGCAGGCAUCAAAGAAGGAGGAUUGUAGUACCUAUGCUGCUGAAAGUUUUUUCCUUCAGCACCGCCAGAGAGCCACAACUCCCCAAGGUAGUUGGAGAGCACAUAACCCCCAGGAGGAAAGGCCUACAGCCCCUUUCAGCAGAAGUAGCUAUAGGAAGACAGAGAUCGCUUCUCGGCCUUUUGGCUAAGAUCAAGUGUGGAAGACAGAGAUCUCUGCUCCCUCAGCAGCUCAUGAAGAACUAGAUUUGUGUCUGUCAGGGGGAAAUGAGGCAGGAGACCAGGAC